Molecule: small nuclear RNA, 107 nt
Organism: Colobus angolensis palliatus
Lineage: Eukaryota; Metazoa; Chordata; Mammalia; Primates; Cercopithecidae
Source: Ensembl
GUGCUUGUUUCAGCAUCACAAAUACCCAGACUGGAGUGAUACAGAAAAGAUCAGCAUGACCUCUAUACAAGGAUGACGUGUAAAUUCAUGAAGGGUUCAUGUUUUUA